This 497-nucleotide ribosomal RNA is filed under the name uncultured bacterium. RNAcentral's name for it is "partial 16S ribosomal RNA". It matches the Rfam family "Bacterial small subunit ribosomal RNA", at positions 28 to 507 of the family's 1533-position model. The record is from RNAcentral.
GACGAACGCUGGCGGCGUGCCUAAUACAUGCAAGUAGAACGCUGAAGAGAGGAGCUUGCUCUUCUUGGAUGAGUUGCGAACGGGUGAGUAACGCGUAGGUAACCUGCCUUGUAGCGGGGGAUAACUAUUGGAAACGAUAGCUAAUACCGCAUAACAAUGGAUGACACAUGUCAUUUAUUUGAAAGGGGCAAUUGUUCCACUACAAGAUGGACCUGCGUUGUAUUAGCUAGUAGGUGAGGUAAUGGCUCACCUAGGCGACGAUACAUAGCCGACCUGAGAGGGUGAUCGGCCACACUGGGACGGAGACACGACCCAGACUCCUACGGGAGGCAGCCGUAGGGAAUCUUCGGCAAUGGGGGCAACCCUGACCGAGCAACGCCGCGUGAGUGAAGAAGGUUUUCGGAUCGUAAAGCUCUGUUGUAAGUCAAGAACGGGUGUGAGAGUGGAAAGUUCACACUGUGACGGUAGCUUACCAGAAAGGGACGGCUAACUACGUG